This 638-nucleotide long non-coding RNA is filed under the name Nicotiana benthamiana. Its description in RNAcentral is "long non-coding RNA (NBEN_LNC006678)". The record is from RNAcentral. Lineage: Eukaryota; Viridiplantae; Streptophyta; Magnoliopsida; Solanales; Solanaceae.
UAGAAGGUGGAGGAAGAAGUAACUGAAAACGGAUACGAGGCUGAUGAGGCCAACCCUUGAGUAUCGACAUGGAGCAAUUCUAUGCCAUCCACUUACUAGGCUCUCUCGUUCUCUCUCUGACCUUUUGCUCUUGUUUCUUUUCUUUAGUGACUGUAGUUUUUGUUUCUCAAUGGUAGAUACUCUGAUUGUUCAUGAGAUAUCUGUACGUAAAAUCAUAGAUUUUAGGUCCUAAAAAUUUGCAGCCUUGUCCUCUAGAAGGAAUUAUAGCCUAAAGAGAUCUUUGUAUCAUUACUACCUUACAUCAUAUAUUAGACCUUCGGUGUGGAGGGAAUUUGUAGGUUGCUUAGAUCCCUGUAGCCUGGUGUGAUAGAACUCAGUAAUGUACGCUUGUAAUAAGUCCAUGUUCUGUUACUGUUGACUCUUAAACCCUGUAGCAUGGUGUGACAGAACUCAGUAAUGUACGCUUGUAAUAAGUCCAUGUUCAGUUACUGUUGACUCUUAACAAUUCAUGUCGCUUGGUUUCUUCUUCAAUGCAGGUUUAUGUAGCGAAGAGCUGAAGAAGCAGCGAUUCUUUCAUUUCCACCAACAUAAAGAUAGUGACUAUCAAGAUUUUCUUGUUUGCCAAGAGUGCAGUAGGU